RNAcentral lists this ribosomal RNA (469 nucleotides) under uncultured bacterium. RNAcentral's name for it is "bacterial SSU rRNA". It matches the Rfam family "Bacterial small subunit ribosomal RNA", at positions 26 to 507 of the family's 1533-position model. The record is from RNAcentral.
AGGAUGAACGCUGGCGGCGUGCUUAACACAUGCAAGUCGAACGGUGAAAGAGAGCUUGCUCUCUGGAUCAGUGGCGAACGGGUGAGUAACGCGUGGGCAACCUGCCUCAAGGACUGGGAUAACAGCUCGAAAGGGCUGCUAAUACCGGAUAAGCCUAUGGCCUCGCAUGGGGCCAUGAGCAAAGGGGAAACCCGCCUUGAGAUGGGCCCGCGUCCCAUCAGCUAGUUGGUGAGGUGAAGGCUCACCAAGGCGACGACGGGUAGCCGGCCUGAGAGGGUGACCGGCCACACUGGGACUGAGACACGGCCCAGACUCCUACGGGGGGCAGCAGUGGGGAAUCUUGCACAAUGGGCGAAAGCCUGAUGCAGCGACGCCGCGUGAGCGAAGAAGGCCUUCGGGUUGUAAAGCUCUGUCUGGAGGGACGAAGGAAGUGACGGUACCUCCGGAGGAAGCCACGGCUAACUACGUG